This 2335-nucleotide long non-coding RNA is filed under the name Capsicum annuum. RNAcentral describes it as "long non-coding RNA (CANN_LNC018415)". The record is from RNAcentral. Lineage: Eukaryota; Viridiplantae; Streptophyta; Magnoliopsida; Solanales; Solanaceae.
AUAUGAGAUGAAAAUAGUAUUUGAAUCAGUCUACAAAGUCUCUAAUAAUAUGAAUAAAAUUUCUAUAUCGGAAUAUGGCCCCAACAAAUACCAUGAUACGAAAGUAAUCCAAUUUUUAACUAAAAGAAUAUACAUAGCCUUCUGAAAGAUGGAUGGCUCAACACUUGCAAAUUGUUGUGUCGAGAGAAAUCAUAGCAUUGAACCGGGUCACAGGAUCGCGGGAAUGAGCUUCAGAACCUACAUCAUGAAAAGACAUAGCGCCCGAAGAUGGUCAGUACGAUGAGUACUAACAUGCAACCCAAGGAAAGGGAGUCAAAACAGUUUAUACAAUUUCAUAUCAUAAGCUCAUAAUAAGAACAAUAAUAAGCAAGUGACUCAAAGCAUAAAAGAAACAUAAUCACUUUAAAAAUCUUUAGUUCUGAACUAUGUAGUUUGCAUUGGCAUUAAGUAACCCACGGGCUGUAUGUGUCAAGUUCGUACCUAAGUGGCAGACCUCAAUCCAUGUUAGCUGCAUGGAAUGAGGUAGUCAUAGUUUGACCAUCCUAUCAUAAACAUAACUAUAUACUACUGUGCGGAAUAAGCAUACAGUGGUCAUCCUUCUUUCAGGACAAGACCAAGUGUUAGUCACAAGGACCACACCUUCUCGGUGAAAAUACAUGAUCUUCAAACCCAAUUAAAACAUUUACCAUAACAUUUAUUCAAAGAGUCUUUCAUUAAGGCAUUUACAUUUUUGGUAUCGUCAUACCAAAACUUGCGGGUCCCCGUAUCAUGCCAAAAUCAUAUUCAUUACACAUUUUAAGACUCUAAAAUCCCACCUUUAAAAAUCAUGAAUAUAUUUACGGUUAAGCUUCCAUUAACAAUUUCAGGCAUUCAAAAUAUGCUUUUCUUUCAAAGAUACAAAGGACGGGGAAUUCAUCUAUUUUUCAUUACUCAAUUCUAAACUUUCAAGAGACCUCAUAAUCAUGACUUAAAUAAUUAUUCAUUUAACACUCAAUUUUUAAAGAUAUGAAGAUUCAUCCUUUUCAAAUAGCCAUUUAAUCUCAAAACCCCGAACAAAGAUUAAAGAAUUAUUCAUAAAGAAAGGGAGAAAUUUAUACUAAACUUUCAUGAUAAAAUCCUCAACCCUAACUUCAAAUCAUCAACAUAAUAUACAUAAAUAACAAUUAAAUUCAUACUUUGUAAUACUAGUUGAAGUAGGGAGUGUUCAACGUACCUUUUUGAAGGAAAGAGACUCAGAAAAACUUGAAUCCUUAGCCUUGAAGCUUGAGUCCUAUCUUGAAAUUGAUAUGAAGACUUACUUGACUUGGAUUCGUCCCACAUACCCUUGAUGACGAAUUUGGUGAGAAAAAGUUGAGAAAAAACUAUAAUCUUUGACCCUUCUUAAAACUUUAGUAUUAGGAGUUUAGGGUAGAGAAGAGAAUUAGGAAUUUGAGAAUGAUUCUCAUAUUUUAGGACGAUUUUGGGGAUUAAAAACAAAUUGGGGAAGUUACAGGGGGUGAAAGAACUAGUUUGCCUCUAAUUUAAUAAGAGAAAAGUGAACUUUUACAUCAGGGAGGUGUGCUCCGUGCUGCGGAGGCUUACCACUGAUCUCCUGGCUUUAGCUCUGACCCGCGCUGCCCAACGCGCAGCUGGGACACUGCCUCGCUAAAAAAUCACAACAUUUUGCUCCGAACUCGGAUUUACAAACCGUCGGUGGGUUUGGAAAGAAGACUCCAAGAACUUUCAUUUAGUGGAUCUUGGGUAUCCAAACUCUUCAUAUUCAAGGAGUUAUGCUGGUUUGAAGUUGACUCUCGUAAAAAUCUAUAACUAAAACUCAAUCGGGAGGCAUGCACCCAAAUUAACUCUAUGCUAGGUGUUUUUUUAUGAUCAAGAUUGACAUCCAAACCACUCACCACACUAGAGAAUUAAUCUUCACACUUAUAUCUAAAUAGAAAUCAUUGGGUUCGGAUCUAUACACGAAGGACGGUUCAAAUUCUAGCUCGAAAUUGUGGGGUGUUACAAGUACGCACCUGUCCACAUUUUUGAAGAGUCCGAGCAACAUAGCCUGUAAUUGCUCUCACAGAGGUUCAAGUUGAUGGCUUUUUACCUUUCAAAGGAAGUGGGAUGAAAUAGCUGGGGAAUCCUUAAUUCACUAUUUAAAGUUUUACUUGUUUUUUUUUUAAAUUUUGGAUAGGAAAUGAGGCUUUGAUGACUGUGGCUACGACUGCUCUAACGCCCAAUAUGAUCCUGUAUUUGAUGAAUGAAUAUCACAUGGAUAUGACUACUGGGUCCAACAUUAUGUUCAUCUGGUCAGCAGGUACCAACAUAGCUCCAGUUGUUGGGGCCUUUAUGGCAG